RNAcentral lists this transfer RNA (69 nucleotides) under Episoriculus caudatus (Hodgson's brown-toothed shrew). RNAcentral's name for it is "tRNA-Phe". It matches the Rfam family "tRNA". From Rfam's summary of the family: Transfer RNA (tRNA) molecules are approximately 80 nucleotides in length. Their secondary structure includes four short double-helical elements and three loops (D, anti-codon, and T loops). Further hydrogen bonds mediate the characteristic L-shaped molecular structure. tRNAs have two regions of fundamental functional importance: the anti-codon, which is responsible for specific mRNA codon recognition, and the 3' end, to which the tRNAs corresponding amino acid is attached (by aminoacyl-tRNA synthetases). tRNAs cope with the degeneracy of the genetic code in two manners: having more than one tRNA (with a specific anti-codon) for a particular amino acid; and 'wobble' base-pairing, i.e. permitting non-standard base-pairing at the 3rd anti-codon position. The record is from RNAcentral. RNAcentral also lists the same sequence under 1 other name. Lineage: Eukaryota; Metazoa; Chordata; Mammalia; Eulipotyphla; Soricidae.
GUUCAUGUAGCUUAAUACCAAAGCAAAGCACUGAAAAUGCUUAGAUGAGCUCUAAGAGCUCCAUAAACA